AUCAUCCUAAUUUUCCAAUUCCUACCAAACAAUUCGUAUCAGCUGCGAAUUCCACACCAUAUGAUCAGAAAUCGAUGGUCGGUUUUAAUUUUUUGCGUUUUUAAUUAGGUGGAGUCAUUAGUGUGGUAAUAUUAUAGGGUUUGGUAUUAUUUAUAGGGUACAGUAGGAUAUAGGGACUAGUAGUUUACAGGGUACAUAGAUUUUUAGGUCCCUAGGACUAGAGCUUUGGUUUCCCGCCGACUUUUUGUAAAUAGGGUUUUCUUCUGGAUUUCGAUUCGUUCUUCGUCUUUCUUCCGCUGGUGUUCGUCUUUCUUAUCUUCUCGAUUAAGUGUUUUCGAUUGAGGAAGUAGGGUUCUUUCUGUGUUUUCUCUGUAGUAAUCUUCGUCAUACCUUCUGUUAUCGUCUGCUUCUGCUCUUCUUCUUUCUUUUUUUCUCGAUUAACUUAGUAAGGUUUCCUUCACAUUAUUGGGUUUUCGUUCAUUCGAAACUCCAAUAAUCCAUUUUGGGGUUUCCUUCACAUUAUUGGGGUUUCGUAAGGUUGUGAUGUUGAUUUUUUUGUAUUUUCGUUCUUGACUUAGUUAUCGUUAAGAUUUGUUUAUCUGUGUUUCCGAUUUAGUUGUGUUUCCGAUUUGUUUCUCUGGCGUUCUUCGUUUUACCCCUCCCGUUUCCAUAUCCUCUAUCUUGUUUUAUCGUUUUUCGACUUCGUUGAAGUUUGUUUCCGAUGUAGUUGUGUCCAUAUCAUCCAUCUUCGGUUUCUCGUUGAAACACAGCAAUUUUCUCAGGGAAUAACGGUCUUGAGAAAAUUUUGAUGCUGCCACUGGAAAAUUUAACGGUUCUCAUCCUCCCGUUUUGUAUUAAUUUUUCCAAAAUAUGUUCUAUUUACCUUCUUAAAUUGAUUUUUUUUUCAAAAAGGACUGUCUUUAGUAAUGAAACUGAACUGCGUUUUUCUCAAUGUACUUCUUCCUCUUUGUUAUUGAAGCUAUUUAUUUUGUUAGCAGGACUCCUUCUGUUUCAGGUAUUUCAACAAAUUUUUUGUUCAUUCAACAACUGAUUUUUAUAAGUCGUACGAUUAAUUGAUGUCAUCUGAUUAAUUUAUAAGUCGUACGAUUAAAUGAUAUCUGAUCAUUUUCCAUAUUGAUGCUAACUCUAUUUGUCUUUUACUUCUACUGGUAAUCUGGUGUCAUAAUUUGUUGUUUCUUUUUUCAUUCAUUUUAAGUGUGCAGUUAUUCAAUUAUUUUUCCAACAACGGUCUGAAUGGCAUAUUUUGCACAUUCACAAUUUUCUUGCCUACAUGAUGAUGUUAGUAAGAAUUAUUAUUCUUAUGUAGGUAUGAAGGUGAACGCAUAACAAAGGCCCUUUCAAAGUUUGUCAACAGCGAGGGAUGUACUGUUUAAAUCAAUGUUCGGCUAUUGUCUUUAUCUAAUUAUUACAUUCUCAGAUAGAUGUAUGCUAAAUAGUUAAAAUAAAAAUCAACCUAUUCUCGUACUGUGUGUUUUUUGUAGUAACCACUUUAAUCAUCGAUACAGGUUGGUACUGAGAUUUUUCGAACUACACAGGGCUAUCGACUAAAACUGCGUUUAUCUAUAUUUGCUAUUAAUAUAAGUGAUUUUUACAGGUGCUUUCUACAGGUUGGUACUGAGAUUGUACAAAGAGCACUUGGUACUUUCAAUUUAAAUAUAGUUAUUUCUUUCUGUUGGUGUGUGGGUUCGUCGUCCAACCUAGUGCAAGAGUGACUCUCAGAAUUAUCAACCCCCUCCCCUGUUGGACCAGGGGAGGUAUUUAUAGUCUUGCGUCCCAGUGCUUGGGCUUCAUGGGCUCGCGCGCCGGGCCCGUCUGUUCACUCGGGCCGCCGACGGGGCCGGUUUGGUCCAUGGGCCGCGGUCUGUAGUCCAUGGUACCAACACUUUCUGUUUAUCUGGGUUUUUAUUUCUACAGGUACUUCCAAAUGACUGUCAAAUUUGGAUACAAUGUUGUCACUGGAAAAUAUAACGAUGAAUUGUCUGUUGGAAUAAUCGAUCCUACUAAGGUAACUUGUUUCUAUAAUUAUCACUGUGGUUUAACUUGUUUAUAUUAUCUAUGCAGUCAUGUGGCUAACUAUGCAGUCAUUAGCAUCUAGUUGGAGGAAGUUGAUCGUCUAAUAGCAAUAUGUUGAUAGUUAUUCUUUAGAUUUUAACAGAACAUUGAUAGCAAUAUUUAUAGCCCAAUAUUAAAGCCCAUUAAUAUUGGACUCAUUUGAAAAUCAAAAUAUUUAACGGCAAAUAUGAGCGGCAAAUUGAUUUCCAAUCAGUCAAAUCAACAUGCAGAUUUUAAAUUUGUAUUUAUUCUAUUUAUUCUAUUUAUUAAAUUUUAAUUAAAUGUGUUUACUG
This 2366-nucleotide long non-coding RNA is filed under the name Zostera marina. Its description in RNAcentral is "long non-coding RNA (ZMAR_LNC000845)". The record is from RNAcentral. Lineage: Eukaryota; Viridiplantae; Streptophyta; Magnoliopsida; Alismatales; Zosteraceae.